UACGAAGGGGGCGAGCGUUGUUCGGAAUUACUGGGCGUAAAGGGCGCGCAGGCGGCUCUUCAAGUCAGGCGUGAAAGCCCCGGGCUUAACCUGGGAAUUGCGCUUGGGACUGGAGGGCUUGAGUACGGGAGAGGAGAGUGGAAUUCCCAGUGUAGAGGUGAAAUUCGUAGAUAUUGGGAAGAACACCGGUGGCGAAGGCAGCUCGCUGGGACGUUACUGACGCUGAGACGCGAAAGCGUGGGGAGCAAACAGG
This 253-nucleotide ribosomal RNA is filed under the name uncultured bacterium. Its description in RNAcentral is "partial 16S ribosomal RNA". It matches the Rfam family "Bacterial small subunit ribosomal RNA", at positions 524 to 776 of the family's 1533-position model. The record is from RNAcentral.